Molecule: ribosomal RNA, 425 nt
Filed under: Leptodactylus mystaceus group sp. ABGD cluster 49
Lineage: Eukaryota; Metazoa; Chordata; Amphibia; Anura; Leptodactylidae
Description: partial large subunit ribosomal RNA
Rfam family: Bacterial large subunit ribosomal RNA
Source: RNAcentral
CUUGACAAACCUAUAAGAGGUCCAGCCUGCCCAGUGACUCUGUUCAACGGCCGCGGUAUCCUAACCGUGCGAAGGUAGCGUAAUCACUUGUUCUUUAAAUGAGGACUAGUAUGAAUGGCACCACGAAGGUUAUACUGUCUCCUUUUUCUAAUCAGUGAAACUAAUCUUCCCGUGAAGAAACGGGAAUAAAAAUAUAAGACGAGAAGACCCUAUGGAGCUUUAAACAAAUAUACACCUGCCUUUUUACCAAAAAUUUCAGAAGACAAGUAAUUACCCGGGCAUUUUGAUAUAGCGUUUUAGGUUGGGGUGACCGCGGAGCAAAAAAUAACCUCCGCAGCGAACGGGAGUAUUCCCUAAACCAAGGGCCACAACCCUAAGUAUUAAUAAAUUAACACUAAUUGACCCAAUAAAUUUGAUCAAUGAAC